CCUACGGGAGGCAGCAGUGGGGAAUAUUGCACAAUGGGGGAAACCCUGAUGCAGCGACGCCGCGUGAGUGAAGAAGUCCUUCGUUAUGUAAAGCUCUAUCAGCAGGGAAGAAAAUGACGGUACCUGAGUAAGAAGCCACGGCUAACUACGUGCCAGCAGCCGCGGUAAUACGUCGGGGGCAAGCGUUAUCCGGAUUUACUGGGUGUAAAGGGAGCGUAGACGGCAGUGCAAGUCUGGAGUGAAAGGCGGGGGCACAACCCCCGGACUGUUCCGGAAACUGUACGGCUGGAGUGCAGGAGGGGUAAGUGGAAUUCCUAGUGGAGCUGUGAAAUGCGUAGAUAUUAGGAGGAACACCAGUGGCGGAGGCGGCUUACUGGACUGUAACUGACGUUGAGGCUCGAAAGCGUGGGGAGCAAACAGGAUUAGAUACCCGUGUAG
RNAcentral lists this ribosomal RNA (438 nucleotides) under uncultured bacterium. Its description in RNAcentral is "partial 16S ribosomal RNA". It matches the Rfam family "Bacterial small subunit ribosomal RNA", at positions 338 to 793 of the family's 1533-position model. The record is from RNAcentral.